AAUCUGAAUUUAAGCAUUUCUUUUUUUAAAAAAAAAAGAAAGAAAGUCAAUUAUUCUUUGUGUGAAGAAGUAAAAAGAAAAACCUAGAAAAUCACUUCUCUCUUUCCCUCUUUCUCUCGAUUUGGUAGGAACCAGCACUAAGCUGGGAUUUUCUUUGCUCAAUUCACCUAGUUGUUGUUGUAAUUGAAGCUCUAAUUCAAGGGCCCUGUUAAACGUCGAGCUGCACUUCCACUCAGGCUGACCGGCACACUUGAGCACGGAACGAGGUAAAGGAAAAGCAAAGCUGGAGGAACAGUGAGGCGGAACUCGGCAUGAUUGUACAUAUCGCGGCAGUGCAACCUGGAGGGUUUCGGUUUACUUGUAUUUUGGAGUCUGUAUUUUGAGAAUGCAUAUCCGCUAAACUUUAAAAAAAAAAAAUAUAUAUGUAUAUAGUAGUAAUGUACCUUUAAUUUGUAUUUUGAUACUCGGGAU
Molecule: long non-coding RNA, 471 nt
Organism: Cannabis sativa
Lineage: Eukaryota; Viridiplantae; Streptophyta; Magnoliopsida; Rosales; Cannabaceae
Exons: 2
Source: RefSeq, a predicted model, not a curated record